AGUUUGAGUCAGAGUAGGGACCAUGCUGUCCCAGGUUCAAGGAUAAAAACCAUCAGGCCCAAGUGCCAUCCAUAGUCCAUCUCCAGAGUCUUCCUCCACAAACUGGGAUUCAUCCCCGCUGAAAAAGCACAAUCUAACAGCAAGGGAACAAAAAAACCAUGCUAUCACAUAAUACUAUGAUGAAGCAGAGAAAACAGCAAGCAACAGCCAUCAUGAAGGAAGUCCAUGGAAAUGUAUCUCAUGUGAAACUUGAAGACUGAAUGAAGAGAGAGAG
This 274-nucleotide long non-coding RNA is filed under the name Homo sapiens (human). RNAcentral describes it as "HSALNT0076846". Lineage: Eukaryota; Metazoa; Chordata; Mammalia; Primates; Hominidae. The record is from RNAcentral.